This 219-nucleotide ribosomal RNA is filed under the name Triticum aestivum (bread wheat). RNAcentral describes it as "partial small subunit ribosomal RNA". The record is from RNAcentral. Lineage: Eukaryota; Viridiplantae; Streptophyta; Magnoliopsida; Poales; Poaceae.
AUGGACGGCGGGAAGAAGGGCGGCCGGGACCGCAAGCCGGCGCAGGAGCGCAGCGACCGCAAGUCGGGCACCGGGAUGAGCGGCGACGCCAAGAAGGGCGGCCGCGGCGGCAAGUUCACCUGGGAGGGCGCCGACGGCUACACCGACGAGGACCUCGACCUCGUCGCCAGCAAGGGCGCGGGGAGCGGCGCCUCCGCCUCCGGCAAGAACAAGUCCUAG